RNAcentral lists this ribosomal RNA (506 nucleotides) under uncultured soil bacterium. RNAcentral's name for it is "bacterial SSU rRNA". It matches the Rfam family "Bacterial small subunit ribosomal RNA", at positions 35 to 573 of the family's 1533-position model. The record is from RNAcentral.
GCUGGCGGCGUGCCUAACACAUGCAAGUCGAACGAGAAAGUGGAGCAAUCCAUGAGUAAAGUGGCGACCGGGUGAGUAACACGUGACUAACCUACCUUCGAGUGGGGGAUAACCUCGGGAAACCGAGGCUAAUACCGCAUAACAUCGCAAGAUCAAAGCAGCAAUGCGCUGGAAGAGGGGGUCGCGGCUGAUUAGCUAGUUGGCGGGGUAACGGCCCACCAAGGCGAAGAUCGGUAGCCGGCCUGAGAGGGCGCACGGCCACACUGGAACUGAGACACGGUCCAGACUCCUACGGGAGGCAGCAGUGGGGAAUUUUGCGCAAUGGGGGAAACCCUGACGCAGCAACGCCGCGUGGAGGAUGAAGCCCCUUGGGGCGUAAACUCCUUUCGACCAAGACGAUAAUGACGGUACUGGUGGAAGAAGCACCGGCUAACUCUGUGCCAGCAGCCGCGGUAAUACAGAGGGUGCGAGCGUUGUUCGGAAUUAUUGGGCGUAAAGGGCGCGUA